This is a long non-coding RNA of Condylura cristata (star-nosed mole), 1813 nucleotides long. RefSeq lists it as uncharacterized. The transcript has 3 exons. The record is from RefSeq and is a predicted model, not a curated record. Lineage: Eukaryota; Metazoa; Chordata; Mammalia; Eulipotyphla; Talpidae.
UUCAAUGUACUUUGUUCACUUCCAUUUCUCUGUAAUGCUAAUUUGCUCUUAUUACCCAGAAAUUCCAUACACAGUAAACGAUUGCUCCAUCCCCUCCAGUCUUAAUAAUGAAUGUUCCAUCCCUGCGCCAUUUGAAAAGCUUUCUAAAGACCCUUUUAAAAUGAAAGGUGAUAGCACUGGAUGUAAUGUUUAUUUACAAGAUAUCAUGAUCCAAGGCUUCCAGAAUACUCAGUAUAAAUAACAACCAGCAGCAUGCACUGCAUUUAAUAGAAAUUUGAUCCCAUCAAUUUUACAUGCUCCCACGAAGGAGAGUGUAGAAUGCUAAUGAUGCUGAUGAGAAUUUGAUGUUGACAGAAGAUUCAUUUAUAAAUAAAAAUGGCCAGAAAGAUUAUUACAUUGGACGAAGUUUUGUCAAUACCCAUCUAACAGUAGGUCUCACUCUCCAAAUGACCAGCCACGCUUUCAAUAACAAUCAUUCAUGAAUAACAAUGAUGAUGCUAUGUUGUACUUGUGUAGCACUUUUCAUCAGGGGACUUAAAGACAUGUAUUAAAUUAUCUUCAGGCCCCUGGACAGCCUGGACUUAGAGUACGGACUUCCAGAAGAAAUCCGAAUCGGGCCCCCCAGUCUUCGUUGUGCUGGAAGAACGUUGUCAGAAUUCAGUCCUCUGCAGAUCUCUCACCCAGAUGACCUGGAGAGGAGUCCUCGCAGGCAGUGAGAAGGUGGCUCAGUCCAGGCGCUCCCAGUCUGACCGCCUGCUCAGGUAGCUGUGGAGUUGGGUGGGUAGGUGGAGCAAUCCGCCCACGAGUGUGCAUUUAUUCCUUAAUGAGGGCCUCUAGAGGUCUCUCGCCAUCUUUGGUGAGAAUGGAAGAAGAGCUCACUCACGCGUUAUAACUCUAGCUUGUUUUAAGCUGAAGCAUAAAAUGACCACUUGAAAACCAUUCUCUGACCUCAGCAGAGGUGGGACCGCCCAGACCCUGCUGCGAUAUCGCAGAUGUUUAAUUCCCAGCAGCGGCCAGGCCUGCGGACAUUUUCUAUCACAACUAACAGCACCCCAGCACCCCGGGGUGGGGUAUCUAGAAACGGAUGAGGAAACGCCCCAGAAUGAUGCUGCGGUCUGAUUUUCGCCCGGUGCCUGUCUCCCCGCCACCACGUCCCGCAAGGCGCAGGAAGGCUGGAACGGGCUGAGGGGCCGCAAGCUUCAGUCCGGCAAUCAGCAUCAUGCUCGAACACGGACACAGGACGCUCUAAGACCAGGCCUGUUUGCACCAGAUGGGAGAGGGCGUGGCCAUGCCUGGGGUCCUACCUGAUCAGAACAGUUUCUGCAGGCCACCAAUUGAUUACAAAGCUCCUACAGGACACAGAACACCAGCCAGAUGGAGGGAGGCACAGGACCAGGCAUGGGGGAAGGCACGGAGCUUCCCUGCCUGCUUGAAAGCACCACGCUCCCAGUUCUGUACUCAAUCACCAGCCUUAACCUCCUCGGGCCCUUUCCUCUUGGGUGUUAGUGGUGGCUUCCUUACCUACACACGAGUGGUUAAACCAUGAGCCACUGGCUAUUGCACUCCAUUCUCUGCCCUCCCAGGAAACCAGGGGAUGGGACUACGCGUUCCACCCUCCAGCAUGUUGGUUUUCCUGGCAACCAGGCCCCGCCUCAGGCAUUUUCCAAAAGUUACCUUUAUUCUGCAUAACAAGAGAUACCUUUAACACCCUCACUUCAGCAAGAGGUGAGCCAGGAGCUGUCGAUGAGAAAUAAAUUCUCAGGGCCUCCCCGGUGGUGCACGUGGCUAAAUCUCAGCACUAAUCUGAGUUCAA